AGAGUUUGAUCCUGGCUCAGGACGAACGCUGGCGGCGUGCUUAACACAUGCAAGUCGAACGGAAAGGCCCUUCGGGGUACUCGAGUGGCGAACGGGUGAGUAACACGUGGGUGAUCUGCCCUGCACUUUGGGAUAAGCCUGGGAAACUGGGUCUAAUACCGAAUAUGACCAUGCACUUCCUGGUGUGUGGUGGAAAGCUUUUGCGGUGUGGGAUGGGCCCGCGGCCUAUCAGCUUGUUGGUGGGGUAAUGGCCUACCAAGGCGACGACGGGUAGCCGGCCUGAGAGGGUGACCGGCCACACUGGGACUGAGAUACGGCCCAGACUCCUACGGGAGGCAGCAGUGGGGAAUAUUGCACAAUGGGUGCAAGCCUGAUGCAGCGACGCCGCGUGAGGGAUGACGGCCUUCGGGUUGUAAACCUCUUUCAGCACAGACGAAGCGCAAGUGACGGUAUGUGCAGAAGAAGGACCGGCCAACUACGUGCCAGCAGCCGCGGUAAUACGUAGGGUCCGAGCGUUGUCCGGAAUUACUGGGCGUAAAGAGCUCGUAGGUGGUUUGUCGCGUUGUUCGUGAAAACUCACAGCUUAACUGUGGGCGUGCGGGCGAUACGGGCAGACUUGAGUACUGCAGGGGAGACUGGAAUUCCUGGUGUAGCGGUGGAAUGCGCAGAUAUCAGGAGGAACACCGGUGGCGAAGGCGGGUCUCUGGGCAGUAACUGACGCUGAGGAGCGAAAGCGUGGGGAGCGAACAGGAUUAGAUACCCUGGUAGUCC
This 771-nucleotide ribosomal RNA is filed under the name uncultured bacterium. Its description in RNAcentral is "bacterial SSU rRNA". It matches the Rfam family "Bacterial small subunit ribosomal RNA", at positions 8 to 796 of the family's 1533-position model. The record is from RNAcentral.